AUCUAACUGACGAGUCCCAAAUAGGACGAAACGCGCUUCCUGGAU
Molecule: non-coding RNA, 45 nt
Organism: Schistosoma curassoni
Lineage: Eukaryota; Metazoa; Platyhelminthes; Trematoda; Strigeidida; Schistosomatidae
Source: Rfam